ACCUUAGAGACCAACUAAGUUUGUUAUUGGUAUGAGCUUUUGUGUGCAUGCACACUUCUUCAGAUACGCAUGCACACGAAAGCUCAUACCAAUAACAAACUUAGUUGGUCUCUAAGGU
Non-coding RNA from Podarcis lilfordi (Lilford's wall lizard), 118 nucleotides. The record is from the annotation of a GenBank genome assembly. Lineage: Eukaryota; Metazoa; Chordata; Lepidosauria; Squamata; Lacertidae.